This 334-nucleotide unclassified non-coding RNA is filed under the name uncultured Paraglomeraceae. Its description in RNAcentral is "sequence contains 18S rRNA gene". Lineage: Eukaryota; Fungi; Glomeromycota; Glomeromycetes; Paraglomerales. The record is from RNAcentral.
CCCAACUAUCCCUAUUAAUCAUUACAACGGUCCUAGAAACCAACAAAUAGAACCAUUGUCCUAUUCCAUUAUUCCAUGCUAAUGUAUCCAAGCGAUUGCCUGCUUUGAACACUCUAAUUUUUUCACAGUAAAAGUCCUGGUUCCCCGCCACGGCCGGUUAAGGCCAUGACGCUUCGCCAGAAGGUAGGACCCGACCACAGACAGUACUCACCCGAAGGGCGGACCGUCCAGCCAGGCCUGAAAUUCAACUACGAGCUUUUUAACUGCAACAACUUUAAUAUACGCUAUUGGAGCUGGAAUUACCGCGGCUGCUGGCACCAGACUUGCCCUCCAA